AGUGAACGCUGGCGGUAGGCCUAACACAUGCAAGUCGAACGGCAGCACAGUAAGAGCUUGCUCUUACGGGUGGCGAGUGGCGGACGGGUGAGGAAUACAUCGGAAUCUACUUUUUCGUGGGGGCUAACGUAGGGAAACUUACGCUAAUACCGCAUACGACCUACGGGUGAAAGCAGGGGAUCUUCGGACCUUGCGCGAUUGAAUGAGCAGAUGUCGGAUUAGCUAGUUGGCGGGGUAAAGGCCCACCAAGGCGACGAUCCGUAGCUGGUCUGAGAGGAUGAUCAGCCACACUGGACCUGGGACACGGUCCAGACUCCUACGGGAGGCAGCAGUGGGGAAUAUUGGACAAUGGGCGCAAGCCUGAUCCAGCCAUACCGCGUGGGUGAAGAAGGCCUUCGGGUUGUAAAGCCCUUUUGUUGGGAAAGAAGAGCAGCAGGUUAAUACCCCGCUGUUCUGACGGUACCCAAAGAAUAAGCACCGGCUAACUUCGUG
Molecule: ribosomal RNA, 492 nt
Filed under: uncultured bacterium
Lineage: Bacteria
Description: partial 16S ribosomal RNA
Rfam family: Bacterial small subunit ribosomal RNA
Source: RNAcentral